UACAUGGGGUGCAAACGUUGCUCGGAAUCAUUGGGCGUAAAGCGCGCGUAGGCGGUUAUCUAAGUCGGAUGUGAAAGCCCUCGGCUUAACUGAGGAAGUGCAUCCGAAACUGAAUAGCUAGAGUACGAAAGAGGGUCGCGGAAUUCCCGGUGUAGAGGUGAAAUUCGUAGAUAUCGUGAGGAACACCGGUGGCGAAGGCGGCGACCUGGGUCGAGACUGACGCUGAGGCGCGAAAGCGUGGGGAGCAAACAGG
This 253-nucleotide ribosomal RNA is filed under the name uncultured bacterium. RNAcentral describes it as "partial 16S ribosomal RNA". It matches the Rfam family "Bacterial small subunit ribosomal RNA", at positions 524 to 776 of the family's 1533-position model. The record is from RNAcentral.